UGGCGGACGGGUGAGUAAUGUCUGGGAAACUGCCUGAUGGAGGGGGAUAACUACUGGAAACGGUAGCUAUACCGCAUAACGUCGCAAGACCAAAGAGGGGGACCUUCGGGCCUCUUGCCAUCGGAUGUGCCCAGAUGGGAUUAGCUAGUAGGUGGGGUAACGGCUCACCUAGGCGACGAUCCCUAGCUGGUCUGAGAGGAUGACCAGCCACACUGGAACUGAGACACGGUCCAG
This 234-nucleotide ribosomal RNA is filed under the name uncultured bacterium. RNAcentral's name for it is "partial 16S ribosomal RNA". It matches the Rfam family "Bacterial small subunit ribosomal RNA", at positions 96 to 334 of the family's 1533-position model. The record is from RNAcentral.